UGUUUGUAUUGAGUCAGAUUGUAUUAAAUAAAUGUAAUAUGAUUGUCAGGUGAGCCGGGACAGCCUUCUUCCUCCGCCCAGCCGCCACAGUAAUUUGUCGUCAAGUCUGCCACAGGAGGAUAUUUUGUUCUGGGUUAACCUGCUUUUCUACUUCGCAGGUUGUUUAUUAAUAUUUGUGUAAUUUUAAUUACUCCUAGAAUUUCCGCAUGUGUUAGCAGUAAUUAUUUGAAUUUGGUCUGUAAUAUUAUAUUCAUGUUGGACCUGUAAACUUAAUAUUUUAAGUCUGUUUUGAUGGAUUGGAUGAGGGAGCUGAGCUCCCAUUUAUUAUUAUGUUGAUGAGUAUGUGGAGGGUGAGCUGAGCUCCCCAAUUGACUA
Long non-coding RNA from Hevea brasiliensis (rubber tree), 375 nucleotides. RefSeq lists it as uncharacterized. NCBI's taxonomy places the organism in Eukaryota, Viridiplantae, Streptophyta, Magnoliopsida, Malpighiales, Euphorbiaceae. The transcript has 2 exons. The record is from RefSeq and is a predicted model, not a curated record.